This 433-nucleotide ribosomal RNA is filed under the name uncultured Clostridiales Family IV bacterium. Its description in RNAcentral is "bacterial SSU rRNA". It matches the Rfam family "Bacterial small subunit ribosomal RNA", at positions 341 to 792 of the family's 1533-position model. The record is from RNAcentral. Lineage: Bacteria; Bacillati; Bacillota; Clostridia; Eubacteriales; Eubacteriales Family IV. Incertae Sedis.
ACGGAAGGCAGCAGUGGGGGAUAUUGCACAAUGGGGGAAACCCUGAUGCAGCGACGCCGCGUGAGGGAAGAAGGUUUUCGGAUUGUAAACCUCUGUCUUCAGGGACGAUAAUGACGGUACCUGAGGAGGAAGCCACGGCUAACUACGUGCCAGCAGCCGCGGUAAUACGUAGGUGGCAAGCGUUGUCCGGAAUUACUGGGUGUAAAGGGAGCGUAGGCGGGAAUGCAAGUUGAAUGUUUAAACUAUCGGCUCAACUGAUAGUCGCGUUCAAAACUGCGUUUCUUGAGUGAAGUAGAGGCAAGCGGAAUUCCUAGUGUAGCGGUGAAAUGCGUAGAUAUUAGGAGGAACACCAGUGGCGAAGGCGGCUUGCUGGGCUUUUACUGACGCUGAGGCUCGAAAGUGUGGGUAGCAAACAGGAUUAGAUACCCUGGUA